CCGGCGCUGGCAAGACGAUGAUCGUCAGCGGCCUGGGACUGCUGCUCGGUCAGCGCGCGGCCCGCGGCAUCGUCCGACGCGACGGCGCCGGG
Molecule: transfer RNA, 92 nt
Filed under: bioreactor metagenome
Description: tRNA-Pro
Source: RNAcentral